This 1017-nucleotide ribosomal RNA is filed under the name uncultured bacterium. RNAcentral's name for it is "bacterial SSU rRNA". It matches the Rfam family "Bacterial small subunit ribosomal RNA", at positions 355 to 1375 of the family's 1533-position model. The record is from RNAcentral.
UGAGGAAUAUUGGUCAAUGGACGAGAGUCUGAACCAGCCAAGUAGCGUGAAGGAUGACUGCCCUAUGGGUUGUAAACUUCUUUUAUACGGGAAUAAAGUGAGGCACGUGUGCCUUUUUGUAUGUACCGUAUGAAUAAGGAUCGGCUAACUCCGUGCCAGCAGCCGCGGUAAUACGGAGGAUCCGAGCGUUAUCCGGAUUUAUUGGGUUUAAAGGGAGCGUAGGCGGACGCUUAAGUCAGUUGUGAAAGUUUGCGGCUCAACCGUAAAAUUGCAGUUGAUACUGGGUGUCUUGAGUACAGUAGAGGCAGGCGGAAUUCGUGGUGUAGCGGUGAAAUGCUUAGAUAUCACGAAGAACUCCGAUUGCGAAGGCAGCCUGCUGGACUGUAACUGACGCUGAUGCUCGAAAGUGUGGGUAUCAAACAGGAUUAGAUACCCUGGUAGUCCACACAGUAAACGAUGAAUACUCGCUGUUUGCGAUAUACAGUAAGCGGCCAAGCGAAAGCGUUAAGUAUUCCACCUGGGGAGUACGCCGGCAACGGUGAAACUCAAAGGAAUUGACGGGGGCCCGCACAAGCGGAGGAACAUGUGGUUUAAUUCGAUGAUACGCGAGGAACCUUACCCGGGCUUGAAUUGCAACUGAAUGAUGUGGAGACAUGUCAGCCGCAAGGCAGUUGUGAAGGUGCUGCAUGGUUGUCGUCAGCUCGUGCCGUGAGGUGUCGGCUUAAGUGCCAUAACGAGCGCAACCCUUAUCGAUAGUUACCAUCAGGUUAUGCUGGGGACUCUGUCGAGACUGCCGUCGUAAGAUGUGAGGAAGGUGGGGAUGACGUCAAAUCAGCACGGCCCUUACGUCCGGGGCUACACACGUGUUACAAUGGGGGGUACAGAAGGCAGCUACACGGUGACGUGAUGCUAAUCCCUAAAGCCUCUCUCAGUUCGGAUUGGAGUCUGCAACCCGACUCCAUGAAGCUGGAUUCGCUAGUAAUCGCGCAUCAGCCACGGCGCGGUGAAUACGUUCCC